Molecule: long non-coding RNA, 571 nt
Filed under: Marmota monax (woodchuck)
Lineage: Eukaryota; Metazoa; Chordata; Mammalia; Rodentia; Sciuridae
Source: RNAcentral
GUUUAUUUGUGCCUUCCCCUCCCUAGAAUAUAAGAUCACAGAUAGCAGGAAUCUUGUAUGGUUUCUUUUAUCAGGUACAUGUAAAAGACUCAAUAUUUGAUUACUGAGUGAAUAAACAAUUACCAGUAUCAAAAAGUAUUAAAGUGGAAAACUGCAGGCUGCUAUGGAAACAGUUACCAGUAGCCUAGUUUGGAGUAUCAGAGGUUUCUCUGGUGAAGUGACAUUUAAAAUGAGACUUGAAACCACCGAUGGGCAAAGAAGUGGGCAAAGAAUGAGAUGGGUGGAGGAAGUAACAUGUGCCAAGGUUCUAAAGCUGACACUGUGAUGAGUCCCUGGAAACUAGUGUGGCAGGCCCUCAGAGAAUUGAGGGGCAGAGCCCAGGCCAUAUAGGAAGGCAGGGGACAGAUCCAUAAGAUAGUAUGGAUUGGGAAACCCCAUGGGAAUCCUUGGAAGGAUUUCACCUAGGUUAUCUUGUGUCUUGCUUUUUCCCUUCAUGUAGCCUUUUUCCGUAUAAAGUGUUCUUAAUUUUACAUAGCCAACAUUUAAGCAUAAAAGUAGUAUAAUUCCAUUG